Small nucleolar RNA from Cannabis sativa, 107 nucleotides. NCBI's taxonomy places the organism in Eukaryota, Viridiplantae, Streptophyta, Magnoliopsida, Rosales, Cannabaceae. The record is from RefSeq and is a predicted model, not a curated record.
AUACCAUGGUGAGGACAUCUUCUCAAUAGAUCUUUAAAUUGCUCCCAAGCUUCAUACAAAUAUUCACCAUCAUUCUAACAAAAGUUAUUUAUUUCUCCCCUCAGUGA